CAUUAGCUUGUUGGUAGGGUAAUGGCCUACCAAGGCGACGAUGGUUAGCUGGUCUGAGAGGAUGAUCAGCCACACUGGCACUGAGACACGGGCCAGACUCCUACGGGAGGCAGCAGUGAGGAAUAUUGCACAAUGGGCGGAAGCCUGAUGCAGCAACGCCGCGUGAGGGACGAAGGCCUUCGGGUCGUAAACCUCUUUUCUGGGGGACGAGUAAGGACGGUACCUCAGGAAUAAGUCUCGGCUAACUACGUGCCAGCAGCCGCGGUAAAACGUAGGAGGCGAGCGUUAUCCGGAUUUACUGGGCGUAAAGCGUACGCAGGUGGCUUCGUGAGUCGGACAUGAAAGCUCCCGGCUUAACUGGGAGAGGUUGUUCGAUACUGCGGGGCUUGAGGUUGGGAGAGGGACGUGGAAUUCCCGGUGUAGUGGUGGAAUGCGUAGAUAUCGGGAGGAACACCAGUGGCGCAAGCGGCGUCCUGGCCCACACCUGACGCUGAGGUACGAAAGCGUGGGUAGCAAACAGGAUUAGAUACCCUGGUAGUCCACGCUGUAAACGAUGUCAACUGGGUGUCGGUAGUUUUACACUAUCGGUGCCGAAGCCAACGCG
This 604-nucleotide ribosomal RNA is filed under the name uncultured bacterium. Its description in RNAcentral is "bacterial SSU rRNA". It matches the Rfam family "Bacterial small subunit ribosomal RNA", at positions 239 to 859 of the family's 1533-position model. The record is from RNAcentral.